CACGACUUACUGCCAGCGCCCCAACUGAUAAAGCUGGGGAGGCGACCGUCAAUGCGAUGUUUUACCAGAGACUUGUAAACUCGCAGUAGCGCUCACGCUCAGUUUCUUUGCUGUUUUUUUGCUUUCUUUUCACAGACAGAAGCACUAAACAAAUCAAUCAUAGCUCAGGAUCUGUGUCACCGGUGGGUGCGGCUGGUCCCGAAGGUAGGCUUCCUGCUCAGGAGGCAAAGCACUUUUGCCUUACAGCCAAACGGCACCCAGGAGUCUGUUAUUAUUUCAAAGACAUGUCUACCCAGAGGGGGUGCCCAGGGGAGACAGCACACUUUUGGAGCUGCGGUUGCAUUCAGAAGCAAAGCGGUUCUUCUAGGGACUUUGGACACAUGUGGCAAUAUCUGCAAUCCUCUGAGUUUGUGGAGGGGAAGACAGUCAAGGAUGCAAUAGAAUGUGCUCUGCAUAGAACAUGCCCCAGCAUAGAGGCCAAAGCCUGAGGCCCUCUGCUGUGCUAGCCUAUCUGAGCCUCGGCCUAGAAAUUACAACUGCAUUGACCCAUCCUGAGGCUGAGCCUGGAGACGUCCUGGUGUGUUAGAAAGGCCCAGAACCUUCAACCUUGCUUCACUGUCCUUAGGAGAUCAGAUGGACUUACUGCUCGUCUUCUCUACCCUCUCUUGUUCUGAUUUAUUCCUCCUCUCAACUCAUUUACAAGACAAGCCGAUGCCAUUAAUGCCCUAGGGCUAUGGUGGUCUUUUCCUUUCAGGGUUAUGACUAUAUCCUCAGGGGACCCCCUGUAUACUACACCUAGAACCCAGCCAGCCCAGAGUAUGGAAUUUGACAUCUAACACCUAACAUGGGGGGACUGCAGCUAAGGGAAAGGACACAGUAAGGUAAGAUGCAUAAUUAAGACUUUCCCCUCUUCUUUGGAGUUGGCGGAUUUUAUUAUCUUUGUUUCCUCCUACCAAAUGAGGUAGGAGGAGAAGGAAACGGUACCCGUAGGGAGAGAUCUCACGUACCUGCAACACUGACCAUGCCCGUUUGGGUGUAGUCACCAAUAUAUGGGGGAGGGGAGGACAGAGAUAAAGGACAAGGGAGAAGGGAUCGCGCUCUCUUUUGGGGUUCCAGCUGAGGUCGGAGACCAGCAGAUCGUUGACCUCAGUUCUCGGCUUCUCUUGUAAGUGACUUCUCUCUAAUAAAGUACCAUACAACUUCC
Mesocricetus auratus (golden hamster) is the source of this 1204-nucleotide long non-coding RNA. RefSeq lists it as uncharacterized. The record is from RefSeq and is a predicted model, not a curated record. Lineage: Eukaryota; Metazoa; Chordata; Mammalia; Rodentia; Cricetidae. The transcript is spliced from 2 exons.